AAAGGAUAUGAGGAAGCAUGUACGAAACGGGCACUCGAGGUACAUUAUUGAAGUUUCGCCAAGGAUUAGACACCCGGAUGGAAUGAUUAAAUCUAGAAAGAUAACGGGAUGGAAAGUAUAUGUGGAUAGAACGUUGUACGAGUCACAGAUUAUCAUCACGAGGAGUAGCGAUCAAAGACCGAGUCACAAGAUAGAUUGUACGGGAAUGCUUGAGUAUGUAAUUUGAUAAACAUAAGUUAUGCUUUUA
Long non-coding RNA from Helianthus annuus (common sunflower), 247 nucleotides. RefSeq lists it as uncharacterized. The record is from RefSeq and is a predicted model, not a curated record. Lineage: Eukaryota; Viridiplantae; Streptophyta; Magnoliopsida; Asterales; Asteraceae. The transcript has 3 exons.